This 835-nucleotide ribosomal RNA is filed under the name uncultured marine archaeon. RNAcentral's name for it is "bacterial SSU rRNA". It matches the Rfam family "Archaeal small subunit ribosomal RNA", at positions 25 to 868 of the family's 1478-position model. The record is from RNAcentral.
CGCCGGCCUCGGAUGAACUAAGCCAUGCGAGUCAUUGUAGUAAUACAAGGCAGACGGCUCAGUAACGCGUAGUCAACCUAACCUAUGGACGGGAAUAACCUCGGGAAACUGAGUAUAAUGCCCGAUAGAACAUUAUGCCUGGAAUGGUUUAUGUUCCAAAUGAUUUAUCGCCGUAGGAUGGGACUGCGGCCUAUCAGUUUGUUGGUGAGGUAAUGGCCCACCAAGACUAUUACAGGUACGGGCUCUGAGAGGAGUAGCCCGGAGAUGGGUACUGAGACACGGACCCAGGCCCUAUGGGGCGCAGCAGGCGAGAAAACUUUGCAAUGUGCGAAAGCACGACAAGGUUAAUCCGAGUGGUUUCUGCUAAAGGAACCUUUUGUCGGUCCUAGAAACACCGAUGAAUAAGGGGUGGGCAAGUUCUGGUGUCAGCCGCCGCGGUAAAACCAGCACCUCAAGUGGUCAGGAUGAUUAUUGGGCCUAAAGCAUCCGUAGCCGGCUCUGUAAGUUUUCGGUUAAAUCUGUACGCUCAACGUACAGGCUGCCGGGAAUACUGCAGAGCUAGGGAGUGGGAGAGGUAGACGGUACUCGGUAGGAAGGGGUAAAAUCCUUUGAUCUAUUGAUGACCACCUGUGGCGAAGGCGGUCUACCAGAACACGUCCGACGGUGAGGGAUGAAAGCUGGGGGAGCAAACCGGAUUAGAUACCCGGGUAGUCCCAGCUGUAAACUAUGCAAACUCAGUGAUGCAUUGGCUUGUGGCCAAUGCAGUGCUGCAGGGAAGCCGUUAAGUUUGCCGCCUGGGAAGUACGUACGCAAGUAUGAAACUCACAUGAAUUGA